This 2933-nucleotide long non-coding RNA is filed under the name Salmo salar (Atlantic salmon). Its description in RNAcentral is "lncRNA (ENSSSAG00000082103.1)". Lineage: Eukaryota; Metazoa; Chordata; Actinopteri; Salmoniformes; Salmonidae. The record is from RNAcentral.
CUGAUUUUCAGUUAAAACACUUUUCCUUGUUUUGUGAUCAACAUUUUAUUUAUUUUAAAGGAACACAGACAAGAACAAAUAGCAGCAGGAACGGUUAUACAGCUGGAGACACAAUACUGUUAAAAUAUAUAUCAUAACAAAUAGCAGCAGGAAUGGUUAUAGAGCUGGAGACACAAUAAUGUUAAAAUAUAUAUCAGUGUAUUAUGGAAACCAGUUAUUGCAGGUAAAUACGAUUAUAAUAAUAAAUUCAGUAAGGUUCACAUUUGCACUAAAAUGACCAUGAACGGGCAAUCAGUUGGGUAUAAAACCCACUACAGUAGGUAUUGUAUGGUUUCAGUUGGGUAUAAAACCCACUACAGUAGGUAUUGUAUGGUUUCAGUUGGGUAUAAAACCCACUACAGUAGGUGUUUUAUGGUUUCAGUUGGGUAUAAAACCCUCUACAGUAGGUAUUGUAUGGUUUCAGUUGGGUAUAAAAUCCACUACAGUAGGUGUUUUAUGGUUUCAGUUGCGUAUAAAACCCACUACAGUAGGUAUUUUAUGGUUUCAGUUGGGUAUAAAAUCCACUACAGUAGGUAUUUUAUGGUUUCAGUUGGGUAUAAAACCCACUACAGUAGGUAUUUUAUGGUUUCAGUUGGGUAUAAAACCCACUACAGUAUGUAUUUUAUGGUUUCAUUUGGGUAUAAAACCCACUACAGUAGGUAUUGUAUGGUUUCAGUUGGGUAUAAAACCCACUACAGUAGGUAUUUUAUGGUUUCAGUUGGGUAUAAAACCCACUACAGUAGACAUUGUAUGGUUUCAGUUGGGUAAUAAACCCACUACAGUAGGUAUUUUAUGGUUUCAGUUGGGUAUAAAACCCACUACAGUAUGUAUUGUAUGGUUACAGUUGCAGAUAAUCAUGUGGUUACAUAUUCAUUUGCAGACCGGAGCCCAAGACACCUUGAUUACACAGAUCACACAGAGGAGAGGUUCUGAUUUUCAUUAAAUGAUGUGUUCUAGGUGGAAGGUCUUCAUUACACAGAUCACACAGAGGAGAGGUUCUGAUUUUCAUUAAAUUAUGUUUUCUAGGUGUGAAGGUCUUCAUUACAUCACACAGAGGAGAGGUUCUGAUUUUCAUUACAUGAUGUUUUCUAGGUGGAAGGUCUUCAUUACAUAGAUCCCACAGAAGAGAGGUUCUGAUUUUCAUUACAUGAUGUUUUCUAGGUGGAAGGUCUUCAUUACAUAGAUCACACAGAGGAGAGGUUCUGAUUUUCAUUACAUGAUGUUUUCUAGGUGGAAGAUGAACCCUGUGUAUGAGAUUACAAUGUAUCAGCUGGUGAUUAGGAUUGUUAGAUGAAUCCAGUAAGUUCCUGAUGAACUCAACUGGUGAGCCUCUUUAGCAGCUAGUUCCAUGGACACACUGAUUUCAAUGUCCUUCACCAAGGUCAGAUGACUUUCAGUCAACAGUCUCUUUAGUGUAGCUUCACUCCGUAGCCCACAUACUAGUCUGUCUCUAAUGAUGUCAUUUACAACACCAUUCAACUCACAGUGUUCUGAUAGUUUCUUUAAUGCAGCAGCAAACAUUGGUACUGAUUCUCCCUCUUCCUGAUGUCUCCUGUGGAACCUGAACCUUUCAGCAUUAACUAGUGGUUCUGGUGAAAAAUGUCAUUGAAGUAUCUCCACAAUAUCCCCAUACGUCUUAUUACCUGUUCUGUCUGGCUGUAGCAGGCUGCCUAGUAAAUUACAUGUCUUUGGCCCCAUUACACAAAAAUGUCAUUUGCAGGAACAAAAUAUUCAAACCGUUCUGUAUAUGAGCUCUACUGCUCAAAACUUUCAUCAAACUGUCCAGUGUUUCCAACAAUUCCAGACAUGUUUCAUUUCUCAAUCAAUCAAAUUCAAUCAAAUGUAUUUCUAAAGCCCUUUUUACAUCAGCAGAUGUCACAAAUUGCUAUACAGAAACCCAGCCUAAAACCCCAAACAGCAAGCAAUGCAGAUGUAGAAGCACGGUGGCUAGGAAAAACUUCCUAGAAAGGCCAAAACCUAGGAAGAAACCUAGAGAGGAACCAGGCUCUGGAUGAUGGCCAGUCCUCUUCUGGCUGUGCCAGGUGGAGAUUAUAACAGAACAUGGCCAAGAUGUUCAAUUGUUUAUAAAUGACCAGCAGGGUCAAAUAAUAAUAAUCACAGUGGUUGUAGAGGGUUCAACAGGUCAGCACCUCAGGAGUAAAUGUCAGUUGGUUUUUCAUAGCCAAUUAUUCAGAGUUAGAAACAGCAGGUGUGGUAGAGAAAGAGCGAGUCGAAAACAGCAGGUCCGGGACAAGAUAGCACAUCUGGUCAAUAGGCUCCUGAUUGUCACUCACUUCAGUAUUGUCCUCAACAACAUCAAUAUUUUCCUCAGUCACGUGAUCUUCAUUCACUUCACUCAUUUAGCAGUUUUUAAUUCCAAAUUCAUCUUCACAGUUGAAUAAAUGUUCAUGCCUGUCACAACUCCUACCGAAGGUGGCCCCCCCUCCUGCUCGGGUGACGCUCGGCGGUCGUCGUCGCCGGCCUACUAGCUGCCACUACUAGCUGCCACUUUGAGAUAUCAGCUGAUGUAAGAAGGGCUAUAUAAAUACAUUUGAUUUGAUUUGCCAUUGAUUCCAUUUUUGUUUUCCCCCUUUUCGUUAUUGUUCUUAGUUGGGCUGAUUAGCAGGCUUUAUUAGCCAGUAGGCCCACCUUGUCUUUGUGUGGGAUUAUUUUCAUUGUAUGCUGUGCGUCUUUACACGCUGUUUGUUGCACAUUUUCAGUGGUGCGUAUGUUUGCGCAAGCUGUGUUUUGUCCCUUGUGUUUUGGGCACUUUGUUUUGCAGUGCUCUCUGUGCGCUGUUUGGGUUGGCUUGUCGUUUGGUCAGUGUGCCUAUUAACCUGUUUGGGAUUGAGGGCAGUAUUUUCACGGCCAGAUAAGAAACGUACCCGAUUUAA